UACGUAGGGCGCGAGCGUUGUCCGGAAUUAUUGGGCGUAAAGAGCUCGUAGGCGGCCUGUCGCGUCAAUUGUGAAAGCCCGGGGCUUAACCUCGGGUCUGCAGUCGAUACGGGCAGGCUAGAGUGUGGUAGGGGAGAUCGGAAUUCCUGGUGUAGCGGUGAAAUGCGCAGAUAUCAGGAGGAACACCGGUGGCGAAGGCGGGUCUCUGGGCAACAACUGACGCUGAGGAGCGAAAGCGUGGGGAGCGAACAGG
This 253-nucleotide ribosomal RNA is filed under the name uncultured bacterium. RNAcentral's name for it is "partial 16S ribosomal RNA". It matches the Rfam family "Bacterial small subunit ribosomal RNA", at positions 524 to 776 of the family's 1533-position model. The record is from RNAcentral.